This is an RNA transcript of Odobenus rosmarus divergens (Pacific walrus), 980 nucleotides long. It is a transcript of the gene named chloride intracellular channel protein 1-like, with no coding region annotated. The record is from RefSeq and is a predicted model, not a curated record. Lineage: Eukaryota; Metazoa; Chordata; Mammalia; Carnivora; Odobenidae. The transcript is spliced from 2 exons.
ACCAUGGCUGAAGAACCUCAGGUUGAAUUGUUCGUGAAGGCUGGCAGUGAUGGGGCCAAGAUUGGGAACUGCCCCCUUCUCCCAGAGACUGUUCAUGGUACUCUGGCUCAAGGGAGUCACCUUCAACGUCACCACUGUUGACACCAAGAGGCGGACUGAGACAGUGCAGAAGCUGUGCCCAGGGGGGCAGCUCCCAUUCCUGCUGUAUGGCACCGAAGUGCACACAGACACCAACAAGAUUGAGGAGUUUCUGGAGGCGGUGCUGUGCCCUCCCAGGUACCCCAAGCUGGCAGCUCUGAACCCUGAAUCCAACACGGCGGGGCUGGACAUAUUUGCCAAAUUUUCUGCUUACAUCAAGAAUUCAAACCCGGCACUCAAUGAUAAUCUGGAGAAGAGGCUCCUGAAAGCCCUGAAAGUUUUAGACAAUUAUUUGACAUCCCCCCUCCCAGAAGAAGUGGAUGAGACCAGUGCUGAGGACGAGGGCAUCUCUCAGAGGAAGUUUCUGGAUGGCAAUGAGUUCACUCUGGCUGACUGCAACCUGUUGCCAAAGCUCCACAUAGUACAGGUGGUCUGUAAGAAGUACAGGGGAUUCUCCAUCCCCGAGGGGUUCCGCGGAGUGCAUCGGUACUUGCGCAAUGCCUAUGCUCGGGAAGAGUUUGCCUCCACCUGUCCAGAUGAUGAGGAGAUCGAGCUGGCUUACGAGCAAGUGGCCAAGGCCCUCAAAUAAGUGCCUCCUGAGACUCCGUCUCCCCUCUCCAUUUUCUCCACAAAGGCACCAACUGGUUUCCACGUGGUUAUCCAAGGGACACACUCCAAAAUGGCCAGUGGCCAGAGAAUCCUGGAGCACUUGUGCAGGGCUGGCUGGGGGGCUGAGGGGAAAAAAUGGGGAAUCUAGGUAAGAUUUUUAUUGUGGGGUGGUGCGGGUAGGACAAUGUAUUUCAGUAAUAAAAUACAGAAUGAAAAAAAAUGUUGUUUUACAU